GAAAUGCGAUAAGUAGUGUGAAUUGCAGAAUUCAGUGAAUCAUCGAAUCUUUGAACGCACAUUGCGCCCUUUGGUAUUCCUUAGGGCAUGCCUGUUCGAGCGUCAUCUAAACCCUCAAGCCCUGCUUGGUGUUGGGUGCCUGUCCCGCCCCCAUGCGUGGACUCACCUCAAAUCCAUUGGCGGCCCUCGUGCCGGCCCCGAGCGCAGCAGAAACGCGGUCUCGUGGCCCGGCGGAGCGUGCCCCCAGAAGCAACAUUCACCGUUUUGACCUCGGAUCAGGUAGGGAUACCCGCUGAACUUAAGC
RNAcentral lists this unclassified non-coding RNA (304 nucleotides) under plant metagenome. RNAcentral describes it as "partial contains 5.8S ribosomal RNA, internal transcribed spacer 2, and large subunit ribosomal RNA". The stretch from base 1 to 105 matches the Rfam family "5.8S ribosomal RNA", at positions 50 to 154 of the family's 154-position model. The record is from RNAcentral.